Nilaparvata lugens (brown planthopper) is the source of this 1241-nucleotide long non-coding RNA. RefSeq lists it as uncharacterized. Lineage: Eukaryota; Metazoa; Arthropoda; Insecta; Hemiptera; Delphacidae. The transcript has 5 exons. The record is from RefSeq and is a predicted model, not a curated record.
GUACGGAGCACUAUACGCCCACUGUUGCUUAUAAGCAACACCCCAAAAAAAUAAAAACUGGAGGGGGAAUUUUUCCCAUUUUAUCACUUUUUGCAUCUAUUAUCUCAUACAACAUGAAAUAAACAUAGAAAUAUUCUUUCCCAGACUCAAAACAUAAAUUGGGCUAGAAAGGGUAAAUGAUUCACUAUGAAGAGUUUGCAGACCUCGUGGGUCUCCAGCAUUAUUACCCUGUCAUCAGCUGGAUCAAAUCUUUGAAUAGGAGACUUUUGAUGCACGGGAACACUAGCGUCAGGUGAUCAAUUUUGAUAACGGCAAGGAAAGUUGUGUGAGUGCGCCACACCAGAUUUUUUUAAUAAUCAUACCAAAAUUACUAGAAAUUUUCUAAUUUAUUUGCUAUCUUUAAUUGAAGAAAUCAUUACCGUACCUAAUAUCAGUUAUUGUUUCUAUUACAGCGAAGAAGCGAGACCAAACAGCAGUAAAUAACAAGAGCUUGCAUAGAUGAGGAAAUAACAUCAGAUAAUCUUUACUUCCAUUGAGAGAGAUGGACAAUUUCCAGUCAGAAUGGGAGGAGAAAAUCGUUUGUGAAGCACGAGCGGGACGGUUUCAUGCGUUGUACAGGACUCUCGAUUUUGAGCUGAGUGACAAGAAAUACAUUGGAAAGGACACCCAAAUGUGGGUUAUGAGGUGGAUUUUCAAGGCAAGGGAUAAAGCAUAUGAGGACAGUGGGGAGCGCUAAUAUUGGCCAAUGUGUCAAUAAUAUCUUGAGAAGAUUAUAAUGAUUGAUGAGCUGGCCAUGAAAUUUUCAUAUACUGGCCGUGCAUCAAACGGGAGCACACAAAAACUCCAUUAAUUUCAUGGGAGUGAGAUAUCGAAAUGCAUACUUGAUUGCUGUUCAAACGUUGUUUGGUGACAUUGCAACUGAGGUGAAAUAUAUGGAUCGUUGGCGUCAAAAUGGCUUCAACAAGCCAGAACAAGAGUGUUGAGAAGGACCAAGAGCAGAGAGACUACGCCUCAUGAAGCUCAAAUUGAGAACAAUAGCAGUUCAAAGUAAAAAUAUAUAAUUAGUUAUAAAUUGAAAGUUCAAUUUUUGUAAUAUUUAAUAAGAAUCAUUGCAUUUUAUUGAAAAUAAUGUUUUCUUAUUUACAUUUUUCGCUCAUAAUGAUAUACUCUGAAGUUAAGCUUUAAAGAAAAUAAACUAUAUUCAAAGUAAUAAUUGAUGUGUUACUCAGAUGUAUACUCAG